This 308-nucleotide ribosomal RNA is filed under the name uncultured bacterium. Its description in RNAcentral is "partial 16S ribosomal RNA". It matches the Rfam family "Bacterial small subunit ribosomal RNA", at positions 505 to 807 of the family's 1533-position model. The record is from RNAcentral.
GAGACAGCAGCCGCCGCGGGAAUACGGAGGGUGCAAGCGUUAAUCGGAAUUACUGGGCGUAAAGCGCACGCAGGCGGUCUGACAAGUCAGAUGUGAAAUCCCCGGGCUUAACCUGGGAACUGCAUUUGAAACUGUCAGGCUGGAGUCUUGUAGAGGGGGGUGGAAUUCCAGGUGUAGCGGUGAAAUGCGUAGAGAUCUGGAGGAAUACCGGUGGCGAAGGCGGCCCCCUGGACAAAGACUGACGCUCAGGUGCGAAAGCGUGGGGAGCAAACAGGAUUAGAUACCCCUGUAGUCCCUGUCUCUUAUAC